GAGGGGUUUGAUCUCAUCAAUAUAUAACCGGUUUGCAUCUGGCUCUAAAGAAACAUCGAUAUUUAGUUUUAAGAGAUGGAUG
Molecule: long non-coding RNA, 82 nt
Organism: Etheostoma spectabile (orangethroat darter)
Lineage: Eukaryota; Metazoa; Chordata; Actinopteri; Perciformes; Percidae
Exons: 3
Source: RefSeq, a predicted model, not a curated record